This 993-nucleotide non-coding RNA is filed under the name Pongo abelii (Sumatran orangutan). The record is from RNAcentral. Lineage: Eukaryota; Metazoa; Chordata; Mammalia; Primates; Hominidae.
AAGUAGAUACAGGCAGGGGCAGGAAUAGGAGCAGAGCAGAAGCCCAAAGAGUGCGUUUAGGGGACAUAAAACAGCAAAAAUGGAUUUAAAGGAAAGCCCAGUCAUUCACACUUAGAAGAAUUCCUGGACUAACAAUUCCAAGCCAAGACAGCUGCGGCAACAUUGAGGUAGAAUCAAAACCUGGGGAAAGACCUUAGGUAUUCAGAACAAAACAACCAGCAGGCGGGCCUGCGGCAUUCCAAGAGCAGACACUGGCAGGAACAAAAGUUACAGAAGUGAGUGACUCUAAGAAUCAAGCAAGACAUGGAGUGGCAGAAAAUUAAAUUCUGAGUCCCUAAAAGACAUAAUGCAAAGAUGACCUCCACUCCCAAGGACAUGUCCUCAUCCCGCGCUGACCGUGUGUGGUCAUUUCAGGAAAAGCAAACAAUGGAGAACCUGCUUGGAUGAUACUUAGACCUGGCACAACUGAAAGGAGUUGCACUUAUACAAUUUGAUGCAGCGGAGUCCCCUGGGAGGAGCCCCAGUCACACGGGAAGAGACAGUCACAGCUGUAAUAAAUGAUGGCUAGCAUGUAUCAAGCACUGGCUGAGUCCUCAGCAUACAUUACAUUACAGAAUUCAAUGUGCACCUCAGCACUCUGGGGGUGUAUUUUAUAGGAGAACUGUGGCACAAAGAGGGUAAGUGUCUUACUAACUGUGUGGCUCAUCUGCCAAGCAGGGGUAAUCUGACCCCAUGAGGUUGCCACAAGUAUUCAAUUAGUUUUAUUUUACAAUUAGAACAGUGGCUGCCUGAAGAAGUAAAAUAUACAAGUAUUUGUUAUGCAAAAACAAAUAAGUCAUAAAUCUCCAUCUUACAGAUAAGAAAAUGCAUUCUGGUUUUUGUUCUGUUGCUGACAAACUAUGGGACUUCAGGCGAGGCCAUGAAACAGUUGGGUCUUGAUUGCCUCCUAAAAAUCUCAGCAUUUGUACUCAAUGAUUAGUUGGAUCGUUUUUC